Molecule: ribosomal RNA, 463 nt
Filed under: uncultured bacterium
Lineage: Bacteria
Description: partial 16S ribosomal RNA
Rfam family: Bacterial small subunit ribosomal RNA
Source: RNAcentral
GAUGAACGCUGGCGGCGUGCUUAAUACAUGCAAGUCGAGCGGCAGCACGACCUUCGGGUUGGUGGCGAGCGGCGGACGGCUGAGUAACGCGUAGGAAUAUACCCCAAAGUGAGGGAUAACUGCCCGAAAGGGUGGCUAAUACCGCAUAUGAUCUUCGGAUUAAAGGAUUUAUCCGCUUUGGGAAUAGCCUGCGUUCGAUUAGCUUGUUGGUGAGGUAAUGGCUCACCAAGGCGACGAUCGAUAGCUGGUCUGAGAGGAUGACCAGCCAGACUGGAACUGAGACACGGUCCAGACUCCUACGGGAGGCAGCAGUAGGGAAUUUUCCACAAUGGGCGAAAGCCUGAUGAAGCAACGCCGCGUGCAGGAUGAAGGCCUUCGGGUCGUAAACUGCUUUUAUGUGCGAAGAAUAUGACGGUAACACAUGAAUAAGGGUCGGCUAACUACGUGCCAGCAGCCGCGGUAA